This 253-nucleotide ribosomal RNA is filed under the name uncultured bacterium. RNAcentral's name for it is "partial 16S ribosomal RNA". It matches the Rfam family "Bacterial small subunit ribosomal RNA", at positions 524 to 776 of the family's 1533-position model. The record is from RNAcentral.
UACGGAGGGAGCGAACGUUGUUCGGAUUCACUGGGCGUAAAGGGCGUGCAGGCGGUCCGGCAAGUCAGGGGUGAAAUGCCACGGCUCAACCGUGGAAUUGCCUUUGAAACUGCCGGACUUGAGGCCGUGAGAGGAGACUGGAAUUCCCAGUGUAGCGGUGAAAUGCAUAGAUAUUGGGAAGAACACCAGUGGCGAAGGCGAGUCUCUGGCACGGUUCUGACGCUGAGGCGCGAAAGCUAGGGGAGCAAACGGG